GAGUGGAGGUUAUCCUUGCACCACAUAUGUGUAGGGCCCCAAACAAUAGCCCAUCGAGCCUGUAGUAUUCCAAAUGCUCUUUCAACAUCCUUCAUGUUUGAAGAGUAAAGAUGGUAAAGCGAGCAAAAGGAGCAAUUUUGGGAUUGAAAUAUGAUGUGCAAUCCUGGGAGCAGAAUGUGCUGUGCAGAACAGUCAACUUGACAGAAUAUACUGUACUUCCUCAUAGUGAACCAGAUGUUGAGCCUUAUAUCUUUGGAAAGAUACGGAUGUUAGCUUUUUGUAGAAUUUUACGGUUCGCGAUUCGGACGUGUGUGGAGAGAGUUGUGGCCGUUUUAGUACAGACAGUUCGGGCAGAAUGUGUUCUGCGGGUUUUGCAAAAUAAUCCUUUUGAAGUUCAAUCCUUGGAGUUUAAUUUGUGUCAAUCACAUUUGGGAAGUGUCUACAAAGAUGUGGAGUUAUUUUCUAAGGUCUGAUCCUAUAUUUAGUAGGAUUUUGGAUGCCAACUCAUCAAAGACAAUUGAAGCCAAACUAGGAAAGCAUAGUUACCAAGUCAAAAGAGGAUUUGUUCCUUAUUUAAAGAAGACCAGAAAUUAGGUUCUGGGAUGCUGGAGUUUGAAGGAGAGUCAGAGCCGCUGCCAUCAUCAAGUUCUCGAGCAUCAUCACAAUCUAUAAGUUUUAUUUUAUGUUUUCUAGUUUUUCAAUUAUGUUUUCUUUGAACAUGAGUAACUAAGUUAUUCUCUAGGGCGAGGAUGACGCCCGAGCAUGGAUAGUUAUGAUUUCUAAUGUUAUUUAAUGGAUUCUAAGUUUCUUUUA
Prunus avium (sweet cherry) is the source of this 813-nucleotide long non-coding RNA. RefSeq lists it as uncharacterized. Lineage: Eukaryota; Viridiplantae; Streptophyta; Magnoliopsida; Rosales; Rosaceae. The record is from RefSeq and is a predicted model, not a curated record.